RNAcentral lists this ribosomal RNA (230 nucleotides) under uncultured bacterium. RNAcentral describes it as "partial 16S ribosomal RNA". It matches the Rfam family "Bacterial small subunit ribosomal RNA", at positions 114 to 334 of the family's 1533-position model. The record is from RNAcentral.
UGCUUGGGAAUAUGCCUUUAGGUGGGGGACAACAGUUGGAAACGACUGCUAAUACCGCAUAACGUGCUUUUUGUGGUGAGAAGUACCAAAGGGGGGGCUCUUCGGACCUCCUGCCUAAAGAUUAGCCCAAGUGAGAUUAGCUAGUUGGUGAGGUAAUGGCUCACCAAGGCGACGAUCUCUAGCUGGUUUGAGAGGAUGAUCAGCCACACUGGGACUGAGACACGGCCCAG